UGAGUCCGUUAAGCAAUCGCUUGGGUUGAAGCCCAAGAGGAAAGUCCGGACAACAUAGGAUAUGGCAGUCGCUAACGGCGACCGGAAGUGAUUCUAGGGAAAGUACCACAGAAACUAUACCGCCACUUUUAGUGGUAAGGGUGAAAAGAGUGAGGCAAGAGCUCACAGCUUGAUAUGGUGACAUAUCAAGGGGGCAAACCCUGCCAGUUGCAAGGAGGACUGCAUUAAGGGCGAUCCGUCCGCAGUUCGAUCACCGCUGGAGCUUGUCGGCAACGGCAAGACUAGAUAGAUGAUUGCUCUACGACAAAAUCCGGCUUAUCGACGGACUCUUUAU
Molecule: RNase P RNA, 334 nt
Filed under: Candidatus Nomurabacteria bacterium
Lineage: Bacteria; Candidatus Nomuraibacteriota
Description: RNase P RNA component class A
Rfam family: Bacterial RNase P class A
About the family: Ribonuclease P (RNase P) is a ubiquitous endoribonuclease, found in archaea, bacteria and eukarya as well as chloroplasts and mitochondria. Its best characterised activity is the generation of mature 5'-ends of tRNAs by cleaving the 5'-leader elements of precursor-tRNAs. Cellular RNase Ps are ribonucleoproteins.
Source: RNAcentral